This 131-nucleotide ribosomal RNA is filed under the name Dictyocoela gammarellum. RNAcentral describes it as "partial 23S ribosomal RNA". Lineage: Eukaryota; Fungi; Microsporidia. The record is from RNAcentral.
CCCUACGCAAGGGAUCGUUAGGUUCUGUGUUCGAUGAAGACCGGGGCAGUAUCCGAUACUGCACAAUGGAUGCAUGGGGUUGUGCAUUGUUGAAUGAACAGAGAUGUUCGAGUACUCCUUUGAAUUAAGCA